CGUCACAUCCUGGGGCUGGAGAAGGUCCCAAGGGUUCGGCUGUUCGCCGAUUAAAGUGGCACGCGAGCUGGGUUCAGAACGUCGCGAGACAGUUCGGUCCCUAUCUGUUGUGGGCGCAUGAAGUUUGAGGGGCUCUGACUCUAGUACGAGAGGACCGAGUUGGACAGACCUCUAGUGUACCGGUUGUAACGCCAGUGGCACCGCCGGGUAGCUAUGUCUGGAAGGGAUAAGCGCUGAAAGCAUCUAAGUGCGAAGCCCGCCCCAAGAUGAGACUUCGAUACAGGGUGGUCGCAGACUACGACCUCGAUAGGCUGCAGGUGUAAAGCCAGCGAUGGCAAAGCCGAGCAGUACUAAUUACCCGAAGGCUUUCCGUA
Molecule: ribosomal RNA, 374 nt
Filed under: Candidatus Colimorpha pelethequi
Lineage: Bacteria; Pseudomonadati; Bacteroidota; Bacteroidia; Bacteroidales
Description: partial 23S ribosomal RNA
Rfam family: Bacterial large subunit ribosomal RNA
Source: RNAcentral